UGCCCCAAAUCAAGAUCUCAGGACUUCCGUGUUUGCGUGUAGACACCCUUCCCCAGCCUCAUUCUCCAUCAGGACCCUUAAACAUCAGAGAUUCCUGGUGAGUGCCCACCAGCAAGCAGGCAUAAUCCUAAAGAGACUGUAUAAUGCUCUGGAUGGGACAUAGGGCCCUGCGCAUUAUGGCUUCGGGCUCUGCCAACGAGAUAGGCCUGCCUCCCCAGGAAUCAACUUGAUUGGACAGAGCUCAAUCCUCUCCUGCUGCUGGGCUGCAGAUACAUACAAGACCCUUGGAAUCCAGCCAUCAAUAUGAAAAUGAGUCCAGACUAUAGAGACAAAUGUGGCCUCAUUUGUUUGCACAAAUGCUCCAGGUGCUGGUGCCUGGUCGGUGUGGCCAUCUAGUGACCAGAGAGGAAACUGCAGCGAUGGGCGCCGCUUACAGCAAUGAGGUCAUCCAUCUCCUUUUCCCAGAGCUCAGGUUUCUCCGCAGAAGGAGGGAUUCCAGCUGUGCCGCAGGAUCCUUGGAAAAGAUACUUUGAAAUUAAAGAAAAUUGGAAGCGCUCCCUUAAAGCCAA
Molecule: non-coding RNA, 569 nt
Organism: Cricetulus griseus (Chinese hamster)
Lineage: Eukaryota; Metazoa; Chordata; Mammalia; Rodentia; Cricetidae
Source: RefSeq, a predicted model, not a curated record